UACGAAGGGGGCUAGCGUUGCUCGGAAUUACUGGGCGUAAAGCGCACGUAGGCGGCUUUCUAAGUCGGGGGUGAAAUCCUGGAGCUCAACUCCAGAACUGCCUUCGAUACUGGAAAGCUCGAGUCCGGGAGAGGUGAGUGGAACUCCUAGUGUAGAGGUGGAAUUCGUAGAUAUUAGGAAGAACACCAGUGGCGAAGGCGGCUCACUGGUCCGGUACUGACGCUGAGGUGCGAAAGCGUGGGGAGCAAACAGGG
This 254-nucleotide ribosomal RNA is filed under the name uncultured bacterium. RNAcentral describes it as "partial 16S ribosomal RNA". It matches the Rfam family "Bacterial small subunit ribosomal RNA", at positions 524 to 777 of the family's 1533-position model. The record is from RNAcentral.